GACGAACGCUGGCGGCGUGCCUAAUACAUGCAAGUUGAGCGCUGAAGGUUGGUACUUGUACCAACUGGAUGAGCAGCGAACGGGUGAGUAACGCGUGGGGAAUCUGCCUUUGAGCGGGGGACAACAUUUGGAAACGAAUGCUAAUACCGCAUAAAAACUUUAAACACAAGUUUUAAGUUUGAAAGAUGCAAUUGCAUCACUCAAAGAUGAUCCCGCGUUGUAUUAGCUAGUUGGUGAGGUAAAGGCUCACCAAGGCGAUGAUACAUAGCCGACCUGAGAGGGUGCUCGGCCUCGUUGGGACUGGGACACGGCCCAAACUCCUACGGGAGGCAGCAGUAGGGAAUCUUCGGCAAUGGACGCAAGUCUGACCGAGCAACGCCGCGUGAGUGAAGAAGGUUUUCGGAUCGUAAAACUCUGUUGGUAGAGAAGAACGUUGGUGAGAGUGGAAAGCUCAUCAAGUGACGGUAACUACCCAGAAAGGGACGGCUAACUACGUG
RNAcentral lists this ribosomal RNA (497 nucleotides) under uncultured bacterium. RNAcentral's name for it is "partial 16S ribosomal RNA". It matches the Rfam family "Bacterial small subunit ribosomal RNA", at positions 28 to 507 of the family's 1533-position model. The record is from RNAcentral.